CCUACGGGUGGCUGCAGUGGGGAAUAUUGGACAAUGGGGGGAACCCUGAUCCAGCCAUGCCGCGUGUGUGAAGAAGGCCCUCGGGUUGUAAAGCACUUUCAGUGAGGAAGAACGCCUGGUGGUUAAUACCCAUCAGGAAAGACAUCACUCACAGAAGAAGCACCGGCUAACUCCGUGCCAGCAGCCGCGGUAAUACGGAGGGUGCGAGCGUUAAUCGGAAUUACUGGGCGUAAAGCGCGCGUAGGUGGCUUGAUAAGCCGGUUGUGAAAGCCCCGGGCUCAACCUGGGAACGGCAUCCGGAACUGUCAAGCUAAAGUGCAGGAGAGGAAGGUAGAAUUCCCGGUGUAGCGGUGAAAUGCGUAGAGAUCGGGAGGAAUACCAGUGGCGAAGGCGGCCUUCUGGACUGACACUGACACUGAGGUGCGAAAGCGUGGGUAGCAAACAGGAUUAGAUACCCGUGUAGUC
This 465-nucleotide ribosomal RNA is filed under the name Vreelandella stevensii. RNAcentral's name for it is "partial 16S ribosomal RNA". It matches the Rfam family "Bacterial small subunit ribosomal RNA", at positions 338 to 795 of the family's 1533-position model. Lineage: Bacteria; Pseudomonadati; Pseudomonadota; Gammaproteobacteria; Oceanospirillales; Halomonadaceae. The record is from RNAcentral.